CAGCAGCCGCGGUAAUACGUAGGUSGCAAGCGUUGUCCGGAAUUAUUGGGCGUAAAGAGCAUGUAGGUGGAUUAUUAAGUCUGACGUGAAAAUGCGGGGCUCAACCCCGUAUGGCGUUGGAUACUGGUAAUCUUGAGUGCAGGAGAGGAAAGGGGAAUUCCCAGUGUAGCGGUGAAAUGCGUAGAUAUUGGGAGGAACACCAGUGGCGAAGGCGCCUUUCUGGACUGUGUCUGACACUGAGAUGCGAAAGCUAGGGUAGCAAACGGGAUUAGAUACCCCGGUAGUCCUAGCCGUAAACGAUGGGUACUAGGUGUAGGAGGUAUCGACCCCCCCUGUGCCGGAGUUAACGCAAUAAGUACCCCGCCUGGGGAGUACGGUCGCAAGGCUAAAACUCAAAAGAAUUGACGGGGGCCGCACAAGCGGUGGAGUAUGUGGUUUAAUUCGACGCAACGCGAAGAACCUUACCGAGGCUUGACAUUGAGUGAAAAUCCUAGAGAUAGGACUUCUCUUUCGAGAGCACGAAAACAGGUGGUGCAUGGUUGUCGUCAGCUCGUGUCGUGAGAUGUUGGGUUAAGUCCCGCAACGAGCGCAACCCCUAUCCUAUGUUACCAGCAAGUUAAGUUGGGGACUCAUGGGAGACUGCCAGGGACAACCUGGAGGAAGGCGGGGAUGACGUCAAAUCAUCAUGCCCCUUAUGCCUCGGGCUACACACGUACUACAAUGGUCGGCAACAGAGGGCAGCGAAACCGCGAGGUGGAGCAAAUCCCAGAAACCCGACCCCAGUUCGGAUUGCAGGCUGCAACUCGCCUGCAUGAAGUUGGAAUCGCUAGUAAUCGCAGGUCAGCAUACUGCGGUGAAUACGUUCCCGGGCCUUGCACACACCGCCCGUC
RNAcentral lists this ribosomal RNA (890 nucleotides) under uncultured bacterium O18G7. RNAcentral's name for it is "bacterial SSU rRNA". It matches the Rfam family "Bacterial small subunit ribosomal RNA", at positions 509 to 1398 of the family's 1533-position model. Lineage: Bacteria; Bacillati; Bacillota; Negativicutes; Acidaminococcales; Acidaminococcaceae. The record is from RNAcentral.